AUACGUAGGGGGCGAGCGUUGUCCGGAAUCACUGGGCGUAAAGCGCGCGCAGGCGGUCUUUCACGUCCGGGGUGAAAGCCCAGAGCUCAACUCUGGGAUUGCCUUGGAUACGGGGAGACUUGAGGAUCGGAGAGGCAAGGGGAAUUCCACGUGUAGCGGUGAUAUGCGUAGAGAUGUGGAGGAACACCUGUGGCGAAGGCGCCUUGCUGGCCGAUUUCUGACGCUGAGGCGCGAAAGCGUGGGGAGCAAACAGGAUUAGAUACCCUGGUAGUCCACGCCGUAAACGAUGAGUGCUAGGUGUUAGGGGGCCCACCCCUUAGUGCCGAAGCUAACGCAUUAAGCACUCCGCCUGGGGAGUACGGUCGCAAGACUGAA
This 375-nucleotide ribosomal RNA is filed under the name uncultured bacterium. Its description in RNAcentral is "bacterial SSU rRNA". It matches the Rfam family "Bacterial small subunit ribosomal RNA", at positions 523 to 898 of the family's 1533-position model. The record is from RNAcentral.